CGUCCUACGGGAGGCAGCAGUGGGGAAUAUUGGGCAAUGGGCGCAAGCCUGACCCAGCAACGCCGCGUGAAGGAAGAAGGCUUUCGGCUUGUAAACUUCUUCUCUGCGGGACGACCCAAGUGACGGUACCUGAGGAAUAAGCCACGGCGAACUACGUGCCAGCACACCCCGCCCUCCGCAGGUGGCAAGCGUCACAACGCUUUACUGGGUGUACAUGGCGUGUAGGCGCGAAA
RNAcentral lists this ribosomal RNA (233 nucleotides) under uncultured bacterium. Its description in RNAcentral is "partial 16S ribosomal RNA". It matches the Rfam family "Bacterial small subunit ribosomal RNA", at positions 335 to 582 of the family's 1533-position model. The record is from RNAcentral.